RNAcentral lists this ribosomal RNA (118 nucleotides) under Labrus bergylta (ballan wrasse). Lineage: Eukaryota; Metazoa; Chordata; Actinopteri; Labriformes; Labridae. The record is from RNAcentral.
GCUUACGGCCAUACCACCCUGAACACGCCCGAUCUCGUCCGAUCUCGGAACUAAAGCAGGGUCGGGCCUGGUUAGUACUUGGAUGGAGACCGCCUGGGAAUACCAGGUGCUGUAAGCU